CUUCGAACAAAUUGACGGGUCUUUGGGUCUUCACAGUUAGGGCUUUUGCAAUUGGGACAGAGAGAGCAUUUUGAUGCGAAGAUGAAGUUGGGAGGAAAACUUUGGGAUUAAUGAUAAUCCCUUUAGCCGUAUGAAACAUGAUUCACACAAAUUGAUAGAGAAAAACCGAUCUCGCGCGGCAAAUGAUUCACACAAAUCGAUCUAUAACGACGAGUGAUUCACACAAAUCACACAAAUCGAUCUCGCGCGGCAAAUUUUGGGGCUAACUUUUUCAUUCUCCCGCCUAAACAAUGGCCAAGGAAGACGA
RNAcentral lists this long non-coding RNA (307 nucleotides) under Panax ginseng (ginseng). Its description in RNAcentral is "long non-coding RNA (PGIN_LNC001940)". The record is from RNAcentral. Lineage: Eukaryota; Viridiplantae; Streptophyta; Magnoliopsida; Apiales; Araliaceae.